AAAUAAUUAACUUAAUAUUUUUGGUUAAGUUGGUUUUCGUUUAUUUGGACAAAUGUGAUUUUGUGAAUGUAAUAAAAUACUUAUGAAUUCUUAUGAGAUGAAAACGAUUUUCUACCUCUCGUGAUAGUGUGUUUUUUUAAAAAAAAAAUCUAUGUGGGAAACAGUUUUAAAAAGAGUUUUCUAGUUUUCAUGAAUAUUAGUACUUCAAAAUAAGUUUUCGGGUGGGAAACGUUUUAAACUAAUAGAUGUGGAUUUAUGAAUAUCUGUGAUGAAAUGAAUGGUGAAUGUGAAUAGUGAUUGUAUGUGGAUGUUCAUACUAUGUGGUUGUAUCUUAUACUUGUGCAACGCCAAGCAAAUAUAGAGAAGACUCUAUCCGUGUGAAUAGUGAAUUUUCGAUAUUUGUGACGGAUCUGACGUCCUCUGGGAUCAAGAUUUUUAAAAAAAAAAUUUGAGCACUUCCAUAUCGGUUUUAAAUUUAAAAAGAGACUCCGGGACAUGAGAGAGAGAGGAAAAAAUAGAGAGAGAGCGAGAGAGAGAGAGAGAGAGAGAGAGAGAGAGAGAGAGAGAGAGAGAGAGAGAGAGGAAAAAA
This 589-nucleotide long non-coding RNA is filed under the name Ananas comosus (pineapple). RNAcentral describes it as "long non-coding RNA (ACOM_LNC016554)". The record is from RNAcentral. Lineage: Eukaryota; Viridiplantae; Streptophyta; Magnoliopsida; Poales; Bromeliaceae.